RNAcentral lists this ribosomal RNA (400 nucleotides) under uncultured bacterium. RNAcentral describes it as "bacterial SSU rRNA". It matches the Rfam family "Bacterial small subunit ribosomal RNA", at positions 356 to 773 of the family's 1533-position model. The record is from RNAcentral.
GGGGAAUAUUGGACAAUGGGCGCAAGCCUGAUCCAGCCAUGCCGCGUGAGUGAUGAAGGCCUUAGGGUUGUAAAGCUCUUUCGGCGGGGAAGAUAAUGACGGUACCCGCAGAAGAAGCCCCGGCUAACUUCGUGCCAGCAGCCGCGGUAAUACGAAGGGGGUUAGCGUUGCUCGGAAUCACUGGGCGUAAAGCGCACGUAGGCGGGUUGCUAAGUCAGGGGUGAAAUCCUGGAGCUCAACUCCAGAACUGCCUUUGAUACUGGCGACCUUGAGUCCGGGAGAGGUGAGUGGAACUGCGAGUGUAGAGGUGAAAUUCGUAGAUAUUCGCAAGAACACCAGUGGCGAAGGCGGCUCACUGGCCCGGUACUGACGCUGAGGUGCGAAAGCGUGGGGAGCAAAC